RNAcentral lists this ribosomal RNA (681 nucleotides) under Rhizopus sexualis. RNAcentral describes it as "SSU rRNA". It matches the Rfam family "Eukaryotic small subunit ribosomal RNA", at positions 450 to 1138 of the family's 1831-position model. The record is from RNAcentral. Lineage: Eukaryota; Fungi; Mucoromycota; Mucoromycetes; Mucorales; Rhizopodaceae.
CCCGACACGGGGAGGUAGUGACAAUACAUAACAAUGCAGGGCCUUUAAGGUCUUGCAAUUGGAAUGAGUACAAUUUAAAUCCCUUAACGAGGAUCAAUUGGAGGGCAAGUCUGGUGCCAGCAGCCGCGGUAAUUCCAGCUCCAAUAGCGUAUAUUAAAGUUGUUGCAGUUAAAACGUCCGUAGUCAAACUUUAGUCUUAUCGACGUGAUGGCCUGGUCUUCAUUGACCAAGCUCGUUAUGAUCGGAGACUCCAUGUUCAUUGGAUCUCUAGCUUCGGUUAGGGCUUUUUUUGAACAAUUACCAUGAGCAAAUCAGAGUGUUUAAAGCAGGCUUUUAAGCUUGAAUGUGUUAGCAUGGAAUAAUGAAAUAUGACUUUAGUCCUAUUUUCGUUGGUUUAGGUACUUCAGUAAUGAUGAAUAGAAACGGUUAGGGGCAUUUGUAUUUGGUCGCUAGAGGUGAAAUUCUUGGAUUGACCGAAGACAAACUACUGCGAAAGCAUUUGACCCGGGACGUUUUCAUUGAUCAAGGUCUAAAGUUAAGGGAUCGAAGACGAUUAGAUACCGUCGUAGUCUUAACCACAAACUAUGCCGACUAGAGAUUGGGCGUGUUUAUUAUGACUCGCUCAGCAUCUUAGCGAAAGUAAAGUUUUUGGGUUCUGGGGGGAGUAUGGGACGCAAGGCU